AAUGAACCGGCGAGUUACGAUUUGAUGCAAGGUUAAGCAGUAAAUGUGGAGCCGUAGCGAAAGCGAGUCUGAAUAGGGCGUUUAGUAUUUGGUCGUAGACCCGAAACCAGGUGAUCUACCCUUGGUCAGGUUGAAGUUCAGGUAACACUGAAUGGAGGACCGAACCGACUUACGUUGAAAAGUGAGCGGAUGAACUGAGGGUAGCGGAGAAAUUCCAAUCGAACCUGGAGAUAGCUGGUUCUCUCCGAAAUAGCUUUAGGGCUAGCCUCAAGUGAUGAUUAUUGGAGGUAGAGCACUGUUUGGACGAGGGGCCCCUCUCGGGUUACCGAAUUCAGACAAACUCCGAAUGCCAAUUAAUUUAACUUGGGAGUCAGAACAUGGGUGAUAAGGUCCAUGUUCGAAAGGGAAACAGCCCAGACCACCAGCUAAGGUCCCAAAAUAUAUGUUAAGUGGAAAAGGAUGUGGCGUUGCCCAGACAACUAGGAUGUUGGCUUAGAAGCAGCCAUCAUUUAAAGAGUGCGUAAUAGCUCACUAGUCGAGUGACACUGCGCCGAAAAUGUACCGGGGCUAAACAUAUUACCGAAGCUGUGGAUUGUCCUUUGGACAAUGGUAGGAGAGCGUUCUAAGGGCGUUGAAGCAUGAUCGUAAGGACAUGUGGAGCGCUUAGAAGUGAGAAUGCCGGUGUGAGUAGCGAAAGACGGGUGAGAAUCCCGUCCACCGAUUGACUAAGGUUUCCAGAGGAAGGCUCGUCCGCUCUGGGUUAGUCGGGUCCUAAGCUGAGGCCGACAGGCGUAGGCGAUGGAUAACAGGUUGAUAUUCCUGUACCACCUAUAAUCGUUUUAAUCGAUGGGGGGACGCAGUAGGAUAGGCGAAGCGUGCGAUUGGAUUGCACGUCUAAGCAGUAAGGCUGAGUAUUAGGCAAAUCCGGUACUCGUUAAGGCUGAGCUGUGAUGGGGAGAAGACAUUGUGUCUUCGAGUCGUUGAUUUCACACUGCCGAGAAAAGCCUCUAGAUAGAAAAUAGGUGCCCGUACCGCAAACCGACACAGGUAGUCAAGAUGAGAAUUCUAAGGUGAGCGAGCGAACUCUCGUUAAGGAACUCGGCAAAAUGACCCCGUAACUUCGGGAGAAGGGGUGCUCUUUAGGGUUAACGCCCAGAAGAGCCGCAGUGAAUAGGCCCAAGCGACUGUUUAUCAAAAACACAGGUCUCUGCUAAACCGUAAGGUGAUGUAUAGGGGCUGACGCCUGCCCGGUGCUGGAAGGUUAAGAGGAGUGGUUAGCUUCUGCGAAGCUACGAAUCGAAGCCCCAGUAAACGGCGGCCGUAACUAUAACGGUCCUAAGGUAGCGAAAUUCCUUGUCGGGUAAGUUCCGACCCGCACGAAAGGCGUAACGAUUUGGGCACUGUCUCAACGAGAGACUCGGUGAAAUCAUAGUACCUGUGAAGAUGCAGGUUACCCGCGACAGGACGGAAAGACCCCGUGGAGCUUUACUGUAGCCUGAUAUUGAAAUUCGGCACAGCUUGUACAGGAUAGGUAGGAGCCUUUGAAACGUGAGCGCUAGCUUACGUGGAGGCGCUGGUGGGAUACUACCCUAGCUGUGUUGGCUUUCUAACCCGCACCACUUAUCGUGGUGGGAGACAGUGUCAGGCGGGCAGUUUGACUGGGGCGGUCGCCUCCUAAAAGG
RNAcentral lists this ribosomal RNA (1682 nucleotides) under Staphylococcus aureus. RNAcentral describes it as "partial 23S ribosomal RNA". It matches the Rfam family "Bacterial large subunit ribosomal RNA", at positions 614 to 2297 of the family's 2925-position model. Lineage: Bacteria; Bacillati; Bacillota; Bacilli; Caryophanales; Staphylococcaceae. The record is from RNAcentral.